GAUGAAGAACGUAGCGAAAUGCGAUAAGUAAUGUGAAUUGCAGAAUUCAGUGAAUCAUCGAAUCUUUGAACGCACAUUGCGCCCGCUAGUAUUCUGGCGGGCAUGCCUGUCCGAGCGUCAUUUCAACCCUCAAGCCCCCGGGCUUGGUGUUGGGGAUCGGCGAGCCUCCGCGCCCGCCGUCCCCUAAAUCUAGUGGCGGUCUCGCUGUAGCUUCCUCUACGUAGUAGCACACCUCGCACUGGGAAACAGCGCGGCCACGCCGUUAAACCCCCAACUUCUGAACGUUUGACCUCGGAUCAGGUAGGAAUACCCGCUGAACUUAAGCAUAUCAAUAAGCGGAGGA
Molecule: unclassified non-coding RNA, 343 nt
Filed under: soil metagenome
Description: partial contains 5.8S ribosomal RNA, internal transcribed spacer 2, and large subunit ribosomal RNA
Rfam family: 5.8S ribosomal RNA (bases 1-120)
Source: RNAcentral